This 1368-nucleotide ribosomal RNA is filed under the name metagenome. Its description in RNAcentral is "bacterial LSU rRNA". It matches the Rfam family "Bacterial large subunit ribosomal RNA", at positions 1534 to 2925 of the family's 2925-position model. The record is from RNAcentral.
UUGAAAAACCGUGUGGCAAUGGGAAGACGUGAUGCGGAGCGAAAUAAAGUAGCGAAGUCCGUGAGCUGUGCGUCAAGAAAAGCCGCUAUUGUUCAUACCAUACCCGUACCGUAAACCGACACAGGUGGAUGAGGAGAGAAUCCUAAGGCCGGCGGAAGAAGCAUUGUCAAGGAACUCGGCAAAAUGACCCCGUAACUUCGGGAGAAGGGGUGCCUGUGAAAACAGGCAGCAGAGAAUAGGCUCAAGCAACUGUUUAGCAAAAACACAGGUCUAUGCGAAACCGAAAGGUGAGGUAUAUGGGCUGACGCCUGCCCGGUGCUGGAAGGUUAAGAGGAGAGGUUAGCGCAAGCGAAGCUUUGAAUUUAAGCCCCAGUAAACGGCGGCCGUAACAAUAACGGUCCUAAGGUAGCGAAAUUCCUUGUCGGGUAAGUUCCGACCCGCACGAAAGGCGUAAUGAUUUGAGCGCUGUCUCGACAAUGCAUCCGGUGAAAUUGAAGUACCAGUGAAGAUGCUGGUUACCUGCGCCAGGACGGAAAGACCCCAUGGAGCUUUACUCCAGUUUGGUACUGGGAUCCGGUACUGCAUGUACAGGAUAGGUGGGAGGCUAUGAAGCGGUAACGCCAGUUGCCGCAGAGCCGCUGUUGGGAUACCACCCUUGCAGUAUUGGGUUUCUAACCAGCCGCCGUGAACCGGCGGUGGGACAAUGCCAGACGGGGAGUUUGACUGGGGCGGUCGCCUCCGAAAGGGUAUCGGAGGCGCCCAAAGGUUCCCUCAGAAUGGACGGAAACCAUUCGAAGAGUGCAAAGGCAGAAGGGAGCUUGACUGCGACACCGACGGGUGGAGCAGGUACGAAAGUAGGGCUUAGUGAUCCGGUGGUAUUAAGUGGGAAUGCCAUCGCUCAACGGAUAAAAGCUACCUGGGAUAACAGGCUUAUCACUCCCAAGAGUUCACAUCGACGGAGUGGUUUGGCACCUCGAUGUCGGCUCAUCGCAUCCUGGGGCUGUAGUAGUCCCAAGGGUUGGGCUGUUCGCCCAUUAAAGCGGUACGCGAGCUGGGUUCAGAACGUCGUGAGACAGUUCGGUCCCUAUCCGGCGUGGGCGUAGGAUAUCUGAGAGGAGCUGUCCUUAGUACGAGAGGACCGGGAUGGACGGACCGCUGGUGUACCGGUUAGACUGCCAAGUCUACGGCCGGGUAGCCAAGUCCGGAAGGGAUAAACGCUGAAGGCAUCUAAGCGUGAAGCCCCCCUCGAGAUGAGAUAUCCCAUCCGAAAGGAGUAAACCCCCUUGAAGACGACGAGGUUGAUAGGGCAGGGGUGGAAGCACAGUAAUGUGUGGAGCUGACUGCUACUAAUAGGGUGAGGGCUUGACC